UCACUACCAACUAGGGAUGGGCGUGAGGAAUCGAUUACUCGAGUACUCCUCGUUACAAAUGAACUCGGUUGGUGGACAGGCAAACUCGAGUUUGCAUAUACACACACAAACAAAGUUUUCUGAAGCAAAUGUAUCAAUUUUCUGUCGGCGCCACUAACGCAUGUGUGGGCACAAAGAAAAUUAAAUGCAUCCAUUUCCAUGGCGCGUUCCGUGCCGUGUGCAGGCACGCCAGAAUUCAAAAAGUUAAGAGAUGGCGGUUAAAGCAAACCGCAGCGAAGAAUUGAAAUACUUUAAAGAAAUAGGAGAUCAUAAGGUGAAAUGUAAAAUAUGCCAAGCGAAAUCGAGCUACCAGAAAGUACUAUGCGGCAACAUAUGCUCCUGAAACACAACGGUGAGUUCGGGAAAGCAGACCCGCAGCAACGGUGAAAGUGAAAGUGUGUCGGCUAUUUUCACCGCCGCAAGACGCAGCUGUAAUCCCGGGCGUGUAGAGAAGAUCACAACGCUGAGUAUUCCCAUAGUCCAUUUGCUGCCGUUUUAUUUGCAGCUUUAAGCAGUUAUUUGCAAUGGUUAGGCUACUUGUUUCGUUUUUUUUAAACUGUUACAGGCCUUGGUUCGACGUGAUUUAAAUUGUGAGACGCAUAUUUAUUUUUGUAAGGAAAAUGUGUUUUGAACGUUUGCAAAAAUAAAUAAUGAAUACUCUGAUAA
Molecule: long non-coding RNA, 705 nt
Organism: Gadus macrocephalus (Pacific cod)
Lineage: Eukaryota; Metazoa; Chordata; Actinopteri; Gadiformes; Gadidae
Exons: 2
Source: RefSeq, a predicted model, not a curated record